This is an RNA transcript of Mangifera indica (mango), 2128 nucleotides long. RefSeq lists it as uncharacterized. The record is from RefSeq and is a predicted model, not a curated record. The transcript is spliced from 5 exons. NCBI's taxonomy places the organism in Eukaryota, Viridiplantae, Streptophyta, Magnoliopsida, Sapindales, Anacardiaceae.
CCUUAAAAAAACAAAACAUUAACAUUUGCCAAUUCACCAACAGCCAACUAACAUGACCUCAAAGAACGACUUCGUGACGUACGCUCCCCUCCCAGCUGAAAACGUCGUCGUACUCCCCGUCUAUUACCAUCCUACCCGCCACCGCCAUAGCUAUCUCCGCCGCUGCGUCUACUCAGCCGCUUGCGUCAUAAUCCUCGUUUUAUUGGUGUUCCUAUUAUAUCCCUCCGAUCCCUCUCUCCAAAUUGCCCGAAUCCGUCUGAACAACAUCCGAGUCGUCUCCUCGCCGAGACCUACCUUAGACCUCUCUUUCUUUCUAACUAUCAAGGUAGGGAACAGAGAUUUUUUCUCAUUAAACUACGAUUCGCUUGCCGUUUCGGUUGGUUACAGAGGGAGAGAACUAGGGUUGGUGAGGUCCAAAGGAGGCAAAGUAAGAGCGCGAGGGAGGUCGUAUGUCAAUGCCACGCUGGAGCUUGAUGGCCUUGAGAUUAUUCAUGAUGCGUUUUACUUGAUUGAGGAUUUGACCAAGGGUGUCAUUCCCUUUGAUACUGAUACUGAGGUCAAAGGCCAGCUCGGCCUCUUGUUUUUUGAAAUUCCCCUGAAGGCAAAAGUAUCAUGUGAGGUGUAUGUAAAUACAGACAACCAGUCCGUAGUCCGCCAAGAUUGUUACCCUGCGGAUGCAAAUAACCUUGUCUGUAAUUAACUACUGGACUCGUUUCUUGAUAUUCGACCACCCCAUGAGUAGUCAGCAUGGUGGUGCCUGCAUCGGAAAGAACCCGGGUGCCUCGUCGGUGAACAAAUGCAUUGCGUUACUGUGCCAACGGAACCACCACCGGCAGCAGCCUCCCUGGCCGCUUCAGUUGGUGCUGCAGGCACUGCCAAGGCCGUUGAUCUCUGCAAAACAAACCAUCGGCCUUGGAGGAGCACCAAGUCCCUGCGGCUAAUCAAAGGAGCGCCCGGGUAACACAUUCUUCCUCUAUAUCCCUUUACGACGCUCUUUGUAUUGUAUGUAGUAUAAUUUUGUUGUGUCAGAGUGUGCUUCAAAGGUCAAAACAAGAAUCUGUGUGCUAUGAGGUUGUAGAAGCAGAAAGAAGGACAAAAGAGAGGUGGGCAAGUAAAGUGAUAACACUAAAGUUUUCUAGAGUUUAGUCAGAUUGAUUCUCAUUUUGAAAAAAAAGAGGAAUUUUUCGUUCAAUUGAUGGACCUGUCUCAGAAAUUGGUUCGCCUGCGUACACGUGUCGUAGAUAACAAGGCCAUUAACACGAACAACCACAGCUGGUUGAGCCCAACUAUAGUCUCCAGAAAAGCAGAUGUUACACAUACCCACAAGCGGUAGCAGCGGUGGGUCCUUUGACGUGGCAUUUGAUCAACCGCUCUGAUAGAGACAGCUGAUCCUUCCUGCCACUAGUCGCUGAAUAUGCUUUUGUUUGGUGGAAAAAUUAGAAAAUGCUGAUUUGAAGCAGAGAAAAGUGAUAUUAGUUCAUUUUGUUUGAUAAUGGUGGGAGUUUAUUUUAGAUUUGUGUUCAUAAAGCACAUGAUUUGCCACGCAAGGAUAGGAUUUGAUUGGGUGGUGUCCUGGUGGCUGAGCCUUUCACCUUUUCAAGUUGGAAGGGGUGGUGAUUCCAAAAGAGUUAAGCCAAUGCUGAUUCUUUUCCUAGUCAGAUUCUUGACUAAAGGUUGUCGAGCUUGAUUUCCUUUAUCCUAGUGAAGGGAUCCAUAGAAGAUAGGAAAAUGGAUAUAGAAUUACCACAACUGCCUCUACAGAGGAUCAAUCUGCAUUUAUACUUAGUGCAUCGAAAAGAAAAUCACAAGAUAUAACGCAAGAAACUCUGUGGACAUCUGUUUUUCCUUGUACCCAUGUCAAGGACAAGUGGUUAAAGAAUCUGUAUAUUGCAUCCAUCUGCUACGGGAGAACAGGAUCUUAAAUUUUGUAUUUGGAAGGAGAAACCGAGCCUCUAAAUCAAAUUCAGGUAGACAUUCCAGUCUAACCCCACUAUAAAUAAUGAAAUAUUUUCAUUUGUUAUGAGGCCUUUGCAGACAUGGUCAUUAGUUUUUGUUGUGUUACUGCAUCUGAACUUUAUCUUUUUCUGUUGUUUGAUGAUAUGAAUUGUACGUUAUGCUUACAGUUGUA